Molecule: non-coding RNA, 1435 nt
Organism: Amborella trichopoda
Lineage: Eukaryota; Viridiplantae; Streptophyta; Magnoliopsida; Amborellales; Amborellaceae
Source: RefSeq, a predicted model, not a curated record
UAGUGAGAAAAGAUACGGGGAUUUAUGGUCUCACUGAGGGUGUGGCUCUUGAUAGAGCAAAAUGACGAAACAAGAUUCAUGAAGCCAACCCGAAAUAGUUGGGAUAAGACUCUGAUGAUGAUGAUGACUUGUUUUCUGAUGUUAUCUAACAUUAGCUGGUAUCCAUUCUUUCCACUUACAUUAAGGGCAUGUUUGAUAACAAGAAGUUACUUACCAAAAGAUGGAACUUACUUGUUACUGUAGAAGUUGUAUGUUUGAUAAAAAAAUGUAAGUUACGAGAACUUCUUAGUACCGUAGAAGUUACCCCUUUAGGCUUAGAAAAGUUCCGUGUUUUUACACAACUUAAAAAAGGAACUUUAUGCCAAUGAAAAAAGGGAACUUUGUCCAUGAUGAAACAGGCUGGAAGCCUUGUGAAGAACUUCUCACUGAUGAAACCCUAGCUGCAGACCCAACCCUAGCCGCAGAGAUGAAAACCACAAAGGCGAGAGACCAUCCUUGCCGCUUCCCUCUUCGCCAAUGAGCCUCCUCGCCAAAGCUUCCUCACAACAAGAGCCCAUUGAUUCACUGUCCAUUGAAGGCGUUCUAUACACAAGAUCAGAGGAUUAUGGUUAUUUUAUUCAGAGCAACAUAAUAUGAGGUUUGUGAAGGAGACAUGGAUUCUAUGAGUUGUAGCUUAGCUGGAGUGAAUCAUAGUAUAUAGUGCCCUUUGGUGCUGAAGGUCCAUUGAGGCAUUUUUGUGUUUUGAUCCAUGAAGGGUCAUUGUAAGUUUACCAUUAUGUGGGUUCACUGUGAAAUUCAUGUUACCGCUUGCUGCUACCUCAGGUUUCAUGUACCCAUUUGAUUUUUCUUGUGGUGGACUGGAAUUUUGGUACGAAUUUUGGGCCUUUUGAACAAGCAGUUUACUUCAAAUUAGUUUUUUCUUCAAGUUUGUAAUAAAGAGAAAGAAGGUUGUGAGUUUGUAGUCUCGUAUUGAAGAAUAGAAAAAAAAGAAAGAACUGUUGAUAAUUUCAAAAAAAAAAAAGAAGAUGAAAGAGUGGUAUCUACUCUUUGUAGCCUGAUAUUUAUGGAACAGAUGGGAAAGAAUGAGAUUCUAUGUACACGCCAGGACAUUUGAGACACACUUUGCAUGCUUGUAUCGGCGUUGAGGCGCCUUUAACCUGUGUACGAGUAGGUUUUGUAACUCGCCCCUUUUGUACGAGAUGCAAUCCAGAUUCAACCGCACAUCGGACAGCAUGUGUGCACCCAGAUUCAACCGCACAUUAGACAGCAUGUGUGCACCGCAGUGGCUAUAAUACUAGCCGUUGGAUUGGCAGCACAGUUGUGAUGGUUUAUUCGAUUGGCACGGCAGUUGUGAUGGUUAGUGACUGUUGGAGCGGUGGUUGUAGUUUAUGACUAUUGGAUGGCUGUUAGAUCAAUUAUGACCAUUGGAUGGUGA